GGAAGGAAGGAGGUGGGGGACAGGGGCCGGGAGUGGUGAGAAGUCCAGAAUCUACUGAAAUAGUCAAAUAACAUGAGAAGUGCCUACUGGUGUGUUCUCUCUCUCUCUCUUUCUCCCCUCACCCCCUGUCUCUUUUUUCCUUUCUCUCU
Molecule: microRNA precursor, 149 nt
Filed under: Marmota monax (woodchuck)
Lineage: Eukaryota; Metazoa; Chordata; Mammalia; Rodentia; Sciuridae
Source: RNAcentral